GAUGAACGCUGGCGACGUGCCUAAUACAUGCAAGUCGAGCGAACAGACGAGGAGCUUGCUCCUCUGACGUUAGCGGCGGACGGGUGAGUAACACGUGGAUAACCUACCUAUAAGACUGGGAUAACUUCGGGAAACCGGAGCUAAUACCGGAUAAUAUAUUGAACCGCAUGGUUCAAUAGUGAAAGACGGUUUUGCUGUCACUUCUCGAUGGAUCCGCGCCGCAUUAGCUAGUUGGUAAGGUAACGGCCUACCAAGGGGACGAUGCGUAGGCGACCGGGGAGGGUGAUCGGCCACACUGGAACGGAGACACGGUCCAGACGCCUACGGGAGGCAGCAGUAGGGAAUCUUCCGCAAGGAGCGAAAGCCUGACGGAGCAACGCCGCGGGAGUGAUGAAGGUCUUCGGAUCGUAAAACUCUGUUAUUAGGGAAGAACAAAUGUGUAAGUAACUAUGCACGUCUUGACGGUACCUAAGCAGAAAGCCACGGCUAACUACGUG
RNAcentral lists this ribosomal RNA (497 nucleotides) under uncultured bacterium. Its description in RNAcentral is "partial 16S ribosomal RNA". It matches the Rfam family "Bacterial small subunit ribosomal RNA", at positions 28 to 507 of the family's 1533-position model. The record is from RNAcentral.